GACGAACGCUGGCGGCGUGCUUAACACAUGCAAGUCGAACGGAAAGGCCCUGCUUUUGUGGGGUGCUCAAGUGGCGAACGGGUGAGUAACACGUGAGUAACCUGCCCUUGACUUUGGGAUAACUUCAGGAAACUGGGGCGAAUACCGGAUAUGAGCUCCUGCUGCAUGGUGGGGGUUGGAAAGUUUCGGCGGUUGGGGAUGGACUCGCGGCUUAUCAGCUUGUUGGCGGGGUAGUGGCUUACCAAGGCUUUGACGGGUAGCCGGACUGAGAGGGUGACCGGCCACAUUGGGACUGAGAUACGGCCCAUACUCAUACGGGAGGCAGCAGUGGGGAAUAUUGCACACUGGGCGGAAGCCUGAUGCAGCAACGCCGCGUGCUGGAUGACGGCCGUCGGGUUGUAACCCGCUUUCGCCUGUGACGAAGCGUGAGUGACGGUAAUGGGUAAAGAAGCACCGGCUAACUACGUG
This 468-nucleotide ribosomal RNA is filed under the name uncultured bacterium. RNAcentral's name for it is "partial 16S ribosomal RNA". It matches the Rfam family "Bacterial small subunit ribosomal RNA", at positions 28 to 507 of the family's 1533-position model. The record is from RNAcentral.